GUUAGGGGGAUUGUUGUCUGGCUCGGUGUCUCCGGUCGAGACGGCCUUGCCGGCGCCGGAGCUGUCGUCGACCGGAGAUCUCGGACCAGGCUUCAAUCCCUUUAAC
Non-coding RNA from Zea mays, 106 nucleotides. The record is from Rfam. Lineage: Eukaryota; Viridiplantae; Streptophyta; Magnoliopsida; Poales; Poaceae.